This 252-nucleotide ribosomal RNA is filed under the name uncultured Bacteroidales bacterium. Its description in RNAcentral is "partial 16S ribosomal RNA". It matches the Rfam family "Bacterial small subunit ribosomal RNA", at positions 524 to 776 of the family's 1533-position model. The record is from RNAcentral. Lineage: Bacteria; Pseudomonadati; Bacteroidota; Bacteroidia; Bacteroidales.
UACGGAGGAUGCGAGCGUUAUCCGGAUUUAUUGGGUUUAAAGGGUGCGUAGGCGGGCAUUUAAGCCGGCGGUCAAAUCGUGGGGCUCAACCCCAUCCAGCCGUUGAAACUGGGGAUCUAGAGUGUGCGAGAGGUAUGCGGAAUGCGUGGUGUAGCGGUGAAAUGCAUAGAUAUCACGCAGAACGCCGAUUGCGAAGGCAGCUUACCGGCGCUCAACUGACGCUGAGGCACGAAAGUGCGGGUAUCGAACAGG